UAUGAAGAUGAUGAGCAAUCU
Molecule: non-coding RNA, 21 nt
Filed under: Caenorhabditis elegans
Lineage: Eukaryota; Metazoa; Nematoda; Chromadorea; Rhabditida; Rhabditidae
Source: RNAcentral